GAUGAACGCUAGCGGCAGGCCUAACACAUGCAAGUCGAGGGGCAGCACGUCUUCGGAUGGUGGCGGCCGGCGCACGGGUGCGUAACGCGUAUGCAACCUACCUCUUACAGUGGGAUAGCCCAGAGAAAUUUGGAUUAAUACCGNAUAGUAUACAGAUUCAGCAUUGGGACUGUAUUAAACNUUUANGGGUAANAGAUGGGCAUGCGUUCUAUUAGUUAGUUGGAGUGGUAACGGCACCCCAAGACAGCGAUAGAUAGGGGCCCUGAGAGGGGGAUCCCCCGANACUGGUACUGAGACACGGACCAGACUCCUA
Molecule: ribosomal RNA, 313 nt
Filed under: uncultured bacterium
Lineage: Bacteria
Description: bacterial SSU rRNA
Rfam family: Bacterial small subunit ribosomal RNA
Source: RNAcentral